UGAAAGGCGAAACGUAAUGUGAAUCGCAACUAACAGUGAAUCAUCGAAUCUUUGAACGCAGGCCGCACCUUGUAACAACACCCCGUGUUAUUGCAAGGUAUCUAUGUAUGAGUGUCAGCCGGAUACGAAUUUCGUUCACCUAGAGCUUUGGAGCUGUAUACAGAGCACUUUGUGGAACGUACAUGAUGCCUCGACGGGUAUAUCAAUGUAUUGUCUGACCUCAUAUAUGGAAGAUUACCCGCUGGAUUUAA
This 251-nucleotide unclassified non-coding RNA is filed under the name uncultured fungus. RNAcentral's name for it is "sequence contains ITS1". The stretch from base 1 to 117 matches the Rfam family "5.8S ribosomal RNA", at positions 49 to 154 of the family's 154-position model. Lineage: Eukaryota; Fungi. The record is from RNAcentral.